RNAcentral lists this transfer-messenger RNA (395 nucleotides) under Flavobacteriaceae. Its description in RNAcentral is "Psychroserpens wynnwilliamsii Standard tmRNA". It matches the Rfam family "transfer-messenger RNA". Rfam says of the family: Bacterial tmRNA, also known as 10Sa RNA or SsrA, is named for its dual tRNA and mRNA-like properties. Its role is to liberate the mRNA from a stalled ribosome. To accomplish this part of the tmRNA is used as a reading frame that ends in a translation stop signal. RNAcentral also lists the same sequence under 1 other name. The record is from RNAcentral. Lineage: Bacteria; Pseudomonadati; Bacteroidota; Flavobacteriia; Flavobacteriales.
GGGGUCGACUGGUUUUGACAGCGAGACUCAUUGGAUGGUAAGCACGUCGUGUAAUGACUUUGAGACACGUAAAAGGCUAGGUCAACUUUUUAAUCGGCGAGAAUAACUACGCUUUAGCUGCAUAAUCUGAAUUACAGUAAGAUUAAGCUAGUUCCUACUAGGUAGGAAAGCUAAAUGUCUCCGGAAAGCCUUGGUUAAUGGCGUUCUAUUUGAGGCAUCGAAAAAAUUGACUAAGGCAGCAUAGCGCUUCGAUGUGCUGUCGAGAUCAAGGAGCUAAGUUGCAGGUAGGUUGUCUUUUGCCAGCCUGCAAUCGAAAACCCAAUGAAAGACUAAACGUGAAGAAAGCUCUUCAAUAGCUUGUUUGGACGAGGGUUCGAAUCCCUCCGACUCCACUG